CACGUAGGGCGCAAGCGUUGUCCGGAAUUAUUGGGCGUAAAGAGCUCGUAGGCGGUUUGUCGCGUCUGCUGUGAAAACUCGGGGCUUAACCCCGGGCCUGCAGUGGGUACGGGCAGACUAGAGUGCGGUAGGGGAGACUGGAAUUCCUGGUGUAGCGGUGAAAUGCGCAGAUAUCAGGAGGAACACCGGUGGCGAAGGCGGGUCUCUGGGCCAUAACUGACGCUGAGGAGCGAAAGCGUGGGGAGCGAACAGG
This 253-nucleotide ribosomal RNA is filed under the name uncultured bacterium. Its description in RNAcentral is "partial 16S ribosomal RNA". It matches the Rfam family "Bacterial small subunit ribosomal RNA", at positions 524 to 776 of the family's 1533-position model. The record is from RNAcentral.